AUCAAAGGCUGCAUUUAAAGGAGGACAUGUUGGCAGUGGAGCACGUGGCUCGCCAUACAUCUCUCUGGAUCAUACGCUGCAGAAUAUGUGGAGAAGAUCCCAGACUGAGCUCUGUAUCUUUGGUGACAGGAGAAGAAAGGAAUAAAUUGGCUCUAAAUUGUUUUUACCUCUUAUUUAUUUUCUCUUCCUAGAACUGGCAAUUAUCCUAUCCCUGCACAAAGUGUUUCUGUUUGCCUCAACGCUUGGAUCACUGAAUCCCAAAUGUGCAGUAGGGGCCAUUUCUGACUGAGAGAGGCAAUUUUUUUUUCCAUCAACUGAAAUUGGUUUCUGACUUUGUCUGGAGCAAUGACAUAGAUGGCCGUAGAUGUUUCUCAGCACUGGGGCCUGCUUUCCUCAGCCAAACUCACCUUAACAUCACAGAAAAUUGGCAGAAAACACAGGGUCCCACAGAUGUAUGUCAUAUGGCUAGGACCUAGGUGCCACACAGCGGUGCUCUUGACUCCAUGUUGCUCAAAGGCCUGUGCUGGCUGGAGGGAGUUAAAGCAGCAAGCCUACCAGAACUGGCUUUGGAAGGAGGGCUAAGACUCAGCUCUGCAAAGAAGGUGAACCAUCCAGUGGGAUGAGGCAUUUUCUUGCCCGACUGAUCUACUAAGUCAGAUAUGGAAAGAAUCACAGAAAUGAAGGGACCUCAAGAGAGCAUUGAGUCCAAACUCCUGCUAAAGCAGGUACAAAGAAAUAUAUAAUGACAGCUUACAAAAAUCCCAAGUUUUUAUUUUUGUAGCUAUUGUUCCUUCCCAUUUCCUCUGUUUUCUUCUGUCUGUAGAAGAUUCAUCCCGGUUCAUAUCUCAGCAUCCUCCCGGAAUCAGGGACAGAUACAUUUCUCUGGGUCAGUCAUGAAUAUGAAGAGAAGUAAGGCAGAUGGAGAGGAGAUGCACCUUCUCCAUGUAAGGAGAGGACCACACAAAAUUAAGAACAGCCAUGGUGGACCCAGGUAGGAACCCCAUUCUUGGGGGCAGUCAGCAGUGGCACUGGCCUAAUGUCAGUUGAAAUAUCCCUUUUUCUCUCAAGAAAAGCUCUGUAUCUAGUGUACAUCUUCACCUGUAUCAAGGCUAUGGCUCAGUGAAAUCACCAAGAAUGAUUUAAUUGACUUUUGUGUACUUUUAAUCUAAUCCUCUGAACUGUAGCAUUCUGAUAGCCAAUGUUUAGCCUUAUUCAUUUAGGAGUUCAGUUCACCUCUCACUGAGAAUUUCUGAAAGCCUUACUGAAAAAUGGAUUGGGCAUUUAGCUAUUUAUGAGAAUCUUGCUUUUAAACUGUGAGAAGAUAUCUUUUUAAUUAAUCCUCACAGAAAACAAUUGAAUGCUUGACCUACAAGGAUAAUUACUUGUGUUCUGCUUUGAUUACUUUGUAAAAGUUUUAUUGGAUUUAUAUAGUGUACUGCAUAAUAUGUGAUCUAAAAUUGGAGCUCUUUACUACAGCAUGGAGUGGAGCUUUAUACUGCAGCAUAAACUUUAUAGAAUUGACAACCAUGUUGUCUAUAUAAAAACAUCAUUCUGUAAUUAGUCUUAUUAGUAUAAUUUUUUA
This is a long non-coding RNA of Numida meleagris (helmeted guineafowl), 1582 nucleotides long. The record is from Ensembl. NCBI's taxonomy places the organism in Eukaryota, Metazoa, Chordata, Aves, Galliformes, Numididae.